Small nucleolar RNA from Haliotis rubra (blacklip abalone), 88 nucleotides. RefSeq annotates it as small nucleolar SNORD12/SNORD106. NCBI's taxonomy places the organism in Eukaryota, Metazoa, Mollusca, Gastropoda, Lepetellida, Haliotidae. The record is from RefSeq and is a predicted model, not a curated record. The transcript has a single exon.
CAGCUUGCUAUGAUGACAAUUUUUUCCCCGUCUUAUCGAUAAAUGACGACAAAUCGCAGCUAUUUGCCAGUUUGUCUGAUGCAAGCUU